CUUAUCUUUCACACUCUCGGCUGACGGUAGUCUACACACCACUAUUCGCAUAGCGGGACGGAAACCGACGGAGCUGCCACAGAAACCUAUAAUCAUCUGCGAAAUGGCGAAGGGAAAGAGGGAAUUGCUAUCAAAAGCGCCAUGGAGAGGUGACGAUGACGACGAGGCCGAAAAAUUCAAAGACGCCAAGCUCAAGGUCACCAAUCAGCCCGGCUCCACCCCUAC
This 225-nucleotide unclassified non-coding RNA is filed under the name Hevea brasiliensis (rubber tree). The record is from RNAcentral. Lineage: Eukaryota; Viridiplantae; Streptophyta; Magnoliopsida; Malpighiales; Euphorbiaceae.